This 599-nucleotide ribosomal RNA is filed under the name Lycoperdon sp. AB-2016. Its description in RNAcentral is "eukaryotic LSU rRNA". It matches the Rfam family "Eukaryotic large subunit ribosomal RNA", at positions 89 to 672 of the family's 3401-position model. The record is from RNAcentral. Lineage: Eukaryota; Fungi; Basidiomycota; Agaricomycetes; Agaricales; Lycoperdaceae.
GCGAGUGAAGCGGGAAAAGCUCAAAUUUAAAAUCUGGCGGUCUAUGGCUGUCCGAGUUGUAAUCUAGAGAAGUAAUGCCCGCGCUGGACCGUGUACAAGUCUCCUGGAAUGGAGCGUCAUAGAGGGUGAGAAUCCCGUCUCUGACACGGACUACCAGGGCUUUGUGGUAUGCUCUCAAAGAGUCGAGUUGUUUGGGAAUGCAGCUCUAAAUGGGUGGUAAAUUCCAUCUAAAGCUAAAUAUUGGCGAGAGACCGAUAGCGAACAAGUACCGUGAGGGAAAGAUGAAAAGAACUUUGGAAAGAGAGUUAAACAGUACGUGAAAUUGCUGAAAGGGAAACGCUUGAAGUCAGUCGCGUUGGCCAGGAAUCAGCCUCGCUCUUGCGUGGUGUACUUUCUGGUUGACGGGUCAGCAUCAAUUUUGAUUGCUGGAAAAAGGCUUAGGGAAUGUGGCAGCUUCGGCUGUGUUAUAGCCCUUUGUCACAUACAGCAGUUGGGAUUGAGGAACUCAGCACGCCGAAAGGCCAGGUUUCGACCAUGUUCGUGCUUAGGAUGCUGGCAUAAUGGCUUUAAGCGACCCGUCUUGAAACACGGACCAAGGA